RNAcentral lists this ribosomal RNA (421 nucleotides) under uncultured eukaryote. Its description in RNAcentral is "SSU rRNA". It matches the Rfam family "Eukaryotic small subunit ribosomal RNA", at positions 592 to 1018 of the family's 1831-position model. The record is from RNAcentral.
CAAUAGCGUAUAUUAAAGUUGUUGCGGUUAAAAGCUCGUAGUUGGAGUUCUGCCAGGUGCCGCCUGUCCGCCCCAGUGGUGAGUACGUGGCGCGCAUUUGGCCCUUUCAAGGGGGGCGUAUCUGCACUUUAUUGUGUGGUGCGGGAUCCUUGACUUUUACUUUGAGGAAAUAGGAGUGUUCCAAGCAGGCUCUCGUCGUGCACAGCUCAGCAUGGAAUAAUAGCAUUGGACCUCGAUUCUAAGCUGUUGGUUGCCAGAAGCGAGGUAAUGAUGAAGAGGGAUAGUUGGGGGCAUUCGUAUUAACGCGUCAGAGGUGGAAUUCUUGGAUUGCGUUACGACGAACUACUGCGAAAGCAUUUGCCAAAGAUGUUUUCAUUGAUCAAGAACGAAAGUAUGGGGAUCGAAGACGAUUAGAUACCAU